This 440-nucleotide ribosomal RNA is filed under the name uncultured bacterium. RNAcentral's name for it is "partial 16S ribosomal RNA". It matches the Rfam family "Bacterial small subunit ribosomal RNA", at positions 338 to 795 of the family's 1533-position model. The record is from RNAcentral.
CCUACGGGUGGCAGCAGUAGGGAAUAUUGGUCAAUGGGGGAAACCCUGAAGCAGCAACGCCGCGUGGAGGAUGAAGGUUCUCGGAUUGUAAAAUCCCUUUGUCCGGGAAGCAAAUGCCGGUAUCUGACGAAUAAGCACCGGCUAACUCCGUGCCAGCAGCCGCGGUAAUACGGAGGGUGCAAGCGUUACUCGGAAUCACUGGGCGUAAAGAGCGCGUAGGCGGGAUAGCAAGUCAGAUGUGAAAUCCUAUGGCUUAACCAUAGAACUGCAGUUGAAACUGGUGGUCUAGAGUAUGGGAGAGGUAGGUGGAAUGCUUGGUGUAGGGGUAAAAUGCGUAGAGAUCAAGAGGAAUACUGAUUGCGAAGGCGACCUGCUAGAGCAUAACUGACGCUGAUGCACGAAAGCGUGGGGAGCAAACAGGAUUAGAUACCCUUGUAGUC